CCAGAGGAGCAUGCUGAUUAUUCUGAUAAGCAAGGAAGGAAACGGAGGGAUACCCCAUCUAUGGAUGGAGGGGAUGGCUCUGGCGAAGCAUCAAUUGAUCAAUCUGAAGAGAACAAAGAGGUAGAUUAUGCGCCAACAGAUUUGCCCCUUGACACAACAGUGGAGCCCACAGAUACUAUACAUUACGAUACCUUUGAAAUGCUAUUUGGAUUCACAACUUCACCACCUGAGAUGACAGAGGAGCCUGCAGAUCCUAUAUAUAACGAUACCUUUGAAACGAUAUUUGGAUUCACAACAUUGCCACCUGACACAUCAGAGGAGCAUGUUGAUUAUUAUGAUAAGCAAGUCAGGAAACGGAGGGAUGCCCCAUCUAUGGAUGGAGGGGAUGGCUCCGGCGAAGCAUCAAUUGAUCAAUCUGAAAAGAAUAAAAAUCUUGAGUCUAAAGUUGAGCAAAGAUCUAAACGGAAUGCUAAAGCCCAGACUACACUCUAUGGAAUCUUUCAACUGAGUGAUAUAGCAUGUGAAUCAGGAUCGAGCCCCAGUCAGAAUCUUUGUGGAUUAUCCUGUUCCGCUCUGACUGAUGAUGACAUCAAUGAUGACAUCGCUUGCCUGAGGGUUUUGCUUAACUUAAAGAUAGAAAAAAUAUUCACACAGGAGUGUCUGACUGUGGACCCCUCGGUUUACUUUACCACAUGUGGAUGAAAUGGCCAGCUUUAUCUCCUUCAUAUAAAACCACAAUCAUACUGACUUUCUGUAACUAUUCUUCAUGUUUACUGCAAUGUAUUCCAAUAAUACUUAGUUCUUCUGCAGAAUCGUUCUUUGUGUCUUGGAUAUUGAUUCGUUUUUUUCUUUAAGACAGCAAAUGUCGAUUGUAGUUUCUUUUAAUAUCAAAACAUAUCAUAUGUUGAUUCAUGGGCGAGGUAUGCAUAUAUUAAAAAUUAUUUUAACUACGCAACUAAUAAGAUACACUGUGCAUUCUGUCUUUUACACCAUACUUAUAUUAGUUUGCUUAAAAGGAUAUUUGGGUUAUGUUUACAAUAAUGAAGAUGUUUUAGAUAUGUACUGUAAGGUCUAAACGGAGUCGAAACUUGAAAAUUGAUACAUUUCUCUCUUGUGUAUUAAUUAAUACAACAAAAGCAGCAUUUUUGUCUGGUUCCGAUAUGCCAGUCUUAAAUGUAAGAUUACUGAAGUUUAUUUUAGAAUGCUUUAACAUGCACCUGUAGAGGAAACAAAUAAUGGUCAAAUGGUUUUGGAUCUAAGGUGACUUCAGGCUUCUGCGGCAGAUCUCUUUGUGUCAGUUCUUUAAAAACACACUUUAAUAAAAACACACAAAAAAACCCAAUAUAUUGAUAUAUAAUUAAAUUAUUUGUCACGUGAAUGUUACAGCACAGUGAAAUGAUUUUUCCGCGUAUUCCAGUUAGGCAGCUGGGGUCAGAAUACGUGUUGAGGGAGGGUACAGCGCCCCCUGCAGCAGAGAGGGUUAAGAGCCUUGAUCAAGGGCUCACCAGUGGAAGCAAAAUUAGAGAAUUAA
Clarias gariepinus (North African catfish) is the source of this 1531-nucleotide long non-coding RNA. RefSeq lists it as uncharacterized. Lineage: Eukaryota; Metazoa; Chordata; Actinopteri; Siluriformes; Clariidae. The record is from RefSeq and is a predicted model, not a curated record. The transcript has 3 exons.